GGUUCGGGAGGUAUGACCUUUCGGCUUCUAUCGUGAACUCAGAGAAACUCAGAGUUCUCUCCCUCCCUAACUCAGCGGCGCGACUCCUUCUCUCCGAUCAAAUCACCGGCCACCAUGGAUCAAGAACACGAAACCGUUAUCGUCAUCUCGUCUCUCUACUUCACCACUCUCGCAUAUCUCUGAUUCAAUCUCCGACUUCGAUCCAAGCAACAUGAUAAAAACAAAACGAUGAUGAACGCUGCGUGAAUACUGCGAUUGGGAGCUGAAGAUGCGUGGAGAUGAUGAUGUUGAUGAAUGUAUAGAGAAGUUGAUUGAUUGGAGAUGAUGGUGAGUCUGAAGGUGAAUUCGAUUCAGAGAAGUUUGAAGAUUACAGUUCUUGCGUGUCGUAGUUGAGGAAUCGUCCACAGCGAACGAUGACAAUGAUGAUUGAAGUGUCGAUUGAUGGAAUUGGAGAAUGACGUGAAGUUGAAGGUUGAACUCGAUUCAGAUGCUAAAGAUGAUGAUGGAGGCUUCGGUUGGAGGUUGUUUGAAGGUUGAAUGGAUUGAAGAAGAUAAAAGUGAUUGAAAUCUGAAUUUUUCUGUUAUGGUUCUUGGUGAAUGAUGAAGAAGGUUUGAAUGUGAAGAGGUUUUGUGAGUGUGGAGAAGAUGAAGAAGGUUCAGAGAGAGAAGGAUGAAGGUCCUGUUCAAGCGUUGGCGAUUGCAGAGCUCCAAGUUUUAUUACAGGUUCUGAGUUUUUUUUUUGUGCGAUGAAGAUAGAAUCAAAGGGGAUGAAGGUUGAUGAUUGAAUGAAGAGGUGAAGGAUUCUGAAGGUGAAGAACACUGGAUCGGUGAUGAUGAUUGUUGAAUUGGGAGAGAAAGAUUGAAGAUGAUGAAGAUCGGAGAAGAAAUGUGGAUGAAGAUAGUGCAGAGAUGUGUGAAAAUGGUGGAGCCCUGAAGAAUGUAGCAGUGCUCUGUUAUAUAGAGAUUGAAGAUGAAGAGAAUUCCAGGUUAUGAGGUUCAAAGCUAACUGAUUUUGGACAUGAAUGAGGAGCAAGGAUAUGGAGGAGAUUGAAGCUUGGUGGAAGCAUGAAGAUGUGAUCAUGAUGAAGUGUAGGAUUAGGAUAGGGUGUUUGAUUUUGGUUGACUUAGGUUAAAAAUCUGUAUCUUUAUAGCUUUUUUCUUCAAUGUAAUGUGUAAUAGACACCUUUUUUUGGAUUUUGUACCAAACAACUCUUAAGUUUCAAUCUGAUUGGAUUUUGGUUGAUUUGAAA
This is a long non-coding RNA of Vicia villosa (hairy vetch), 1250 nucleotides long. RefSeq lists it as uncharacterized. The record is from RefSeq and is a predicted model, not a curated record. NCBI's taxonomy places the organism in Eukaryota, Viridiplantae, Streptophyta, Magnoliopsida, Fabales, Fabaceae. The transcript has 3 exons.